GGCCCGCACAAGCGGUGGAGUAUGUGGUUUAAUUCGAUGCAACGCGAAGAACCUUACCAGGGUUUGACAUCCUGCGAAUCUCUUGGAAACGAGAGAGUGCCUUCGGGAACGCAGUGACAGGUGGUGCAUGGCUGUCGUCAGCUCGUGUCGUGAGAUGUUGGGUUAAGUCCCGCAACGAGCGCAACCCACGUCGUUAGUUGCCAGCAUUUUAGUUGGGCACUCUAGCGAGACCGCCGGUGAUAAACCGGAGAAGGUGUGGAUGACGUCAAGUCAUCAUGCCCUCAUCAUCUGGGCUACACACGUACUACAAUGCUACGGACAAAGGGCAGCAAACUCGCGAGAGCUAGCAAAAUCCCAUAAACGUGGCUCAGUUCAGA
RNAcentral lists this ribosomal RNA (377 nucleotides) under uncultured bacterium. RNAcentral's name for it is "bacterial SSU rRNA". It matches the Rfam family "Bacterial small subunit ribosomal RNA", at positions 918 to 1297 of the family's 1533-position model. The record is from RNAcentral.